Molecule: long non-coding RNA, 566 nt
Filed under: Daucus carota (carrot)
Lineage: Eukaryota; Viridiplantae; Streptophyta; Magnoliopsida; Apiales; Apiaceae
Description: long non-coding RNA (DCAR_LNC002374)
Source: RNAcentral
GAACGGGAUGGGUAACAGCGGUCUUUAAGAGACAACGCCAUGUUUACUAUCGGUUCGCUAGCUGACCCGGGUUCGGAGUCCGAAGAGGACGAAGAAGGAAUUUCGAUGAUCGGUCUAAUUAAUCUAGACGAUUCGUUCCUAACCCAAGUAGUUCGCAUAAACUAGAUAGUAAACACGUAGCAAAUAAGUGCGAAGAAAUAAAACAAACAAAAGAAAGGGUGUAAAAGUGAAAGAAAAACUUAAUUCUAGGGUUUCCUAAUAAAAAAUGAACUAGACCUUGCUCCUAACGUUAAGGACCACCAAAAACUCGAUAAAUCCAAAAUUAUUCGGACCGGUCUGGCCAGUUUGGAGCAGGCAUUGCCAAGAGGCCAAUCUCCGCGCUUAGACACCAAACCUUAAUCGGCCAGGUAAGCUUUCGCUUUUCCUUAGACACCGAAAAGUCGGAAUAAUUAAAGAUUACCUCGUUCUUUAGGUACCUUCCUAAUUGAGCGCGAAACCUAGGGGCCAAUGUCUAAUUCAAUUUUAUUAAAAGGCUAGGAAAUGCAAAAUGAAGAAUUAAGUCGUUG